UGGGGAAUUUUGGACAAUGGGCGCAAGCCUGAUCCAGCCAUGCCGCGUGCGGGAAGAAGGCCUUCGGGUUGUAAACCGCUUUUGUCAGGGAAGAAAUCUUCUGAGUUAAUACCUCGGGAGGAUGACGGUACCUGAAGAAUAAGCACCGGCUAACUACGUGCCAGCAGCCGCGGUAAUACGUAGGGUGCAAGCGUUAAUCGGAAUUACUGGGCGUAAAACGUGCGCAGGCGGUUUUGUAAGACAGAGGUGAAAUCCCCGGGCUCAACCUGGGAACUGCCUUUGUGACUGCAAGGCUUGAGUGCGGCAGAGGGGGGAUGGAAUUCCGCGUGUAGCAGUGAAAUGCGUAGAUAUGCGGAGGAACACCGAUGGCGAAGGCAAUCCCCUGGGCCUGCACUGACGCUCAUGCACGAAAGCGUGGGGAGCAAACAGGAUUAGAUACCCUGGUAGUCCACGCCCUAAAACGAUGUCAACUGGUUGUUGGGAAGGUUCCUUCUCAGUAACGUAGCUAACGCGUGAAGUUGACCGCCUGGGGAGUACGGCCGCAAGGUUGAAACUCAAAUGAAUUGAC
This 568-nucleotide ribosomal RNA is filed under the name uncultured bacterium. Its description in RNAcentral is "partial 16S ribosomal RNA". It matches the Rfam family "Bacterial small subunit ribosomal RNA", at positions 355 to 914 of the family's 1533-position model. The record is from RNAcentral.